UGAGUAACCUGCCCUUAACUCUGGGAUAAGCCGUGGGAAACUGGGUCUAAUACCGGAUAUGACUCCUCAUCGCAUGGUGGGGGGUGGAAAGCUUUAUUGUGGUUUUGGAUGGACUUGCGGCCUAUCAGCUUGUUGGUGAGGUAAUGGCUCACCAAGGCGACGACGGGUAGCCGGCCUGAGAGGGCGACCGGCCACACUGGGACUGAGACACGGUCCAGACUCCUAGGGAGCAG
This 233-nucleotide ribosomal RNA is filed under the name uncultured bacterium. RNAcentral describes it as "partial 16S ribosomal RNA". It matches the Rfam family "Bacterial small subunit ribosomal RNA", at positions 118 to 347 of the family's 1533-position model. The record is from RNAcentral.